CCUGGAGACAGCGGUGACAGCUCUGCUGCUGUGUUCAGGCCGCGUCACCGGCUCUGGAGGUUCACCUCUCUGCCCUCUGCUCCAGAGGCCAGAUGCACUUCAUUCCAGCAACGAUAACCAAGAAAGUGUGUACAGACAUGGGGAGAGCUGCGGACGCAGAAGGGAGCUCCUGAGGAGACGCCUUCCCGCUGCAGGAUCCCGGUGCUUGUGAGAUGCGGCCCCGUGUAAUGAGCGGCUCAUUUAUCCUGCAACACUGGACCAAGCGGCACCACCAUGCAGAGAGAGGGUGGUAGACUGCCGCCUGGCACCAGAACAAAGGCAAUGGAAGGCUUCCUCCUCCGGCAGGGAGGAGAGGCGGGAGAGAGGCUUGGAGGGCACGAGAAGACAGAGGACAUUGAGGUUCAUGCGGGAAGAAGACGGUGACGACAGCCGGGAGCAGCACGGCGGUGGCUUAGGAGUCCCACACCACACCGGCUCGCCACCAAGGUCGCUCUGCAGACCCUUUGUGACGCCACGCAGAUCGUAAUCUAAAUUAAGCUAAGCUGUGACGCUCGCAGAGGAAUAAAGUGUACUCGUGAUGUUGGGUUGUUUCCUCCCACACGACUCCAAAGUGACUAAACAGAAAAAUUUUUAUAAAUCUGACAUCAGCACAAUGAAAAAUGUUCCACGUACCAGUAAAAAAUGAAAAGACAAGCCAUGGACUACAGUACAGUAUUUCCAGUACAUAUAUCUGAUAAAGUACUUCCAUCCGGAAUAUAUAAAGAAUGUGCACUACUCAAAAAUCAAAA
Long non-coding RNA from Octodon degus (degu), 788 nucleotides. RefSeq lists it as uncharacterized. The transcript has 3 exons. NCBI's taxonomy places the organism in Eukaryota, Metazoa, Chordata, Mammalia, Rodentia, Octodontidae. The record is from RefSeq and is a predicted model, not a curated record.